This 571-nucleotide ribosomal RNA is filed under the name uncultured bacterium. RNAcentral describes it as "bacterial SSU rRNA". It matches the Rfam family "Bacterial small subunit ribosomal RNA", at positions 57 to 602 of the family's 1533-position model. The record is from RNAcentral.
GCAAGUAGGACGCACAGUCUAUACCGUAGCUUGCUACACCAUAGGCUGUGAGUUGCGAACGGGUGAGUAACGCGUAGGUAACCUGCCUAUUAGAGGGGGAUAACUAUUGGAAACGAUAGCUAAUACCGCAUAACAGUAUGUAACACAUGUUAGAUGCUUGAAAGAUGCAAUUGCAUCGCUAGUAGAUGGACCUGCGUUGUAUUAGCUAGUAGGUAGGGUAAUGGCCUACCUAGGCAACGAUACAUAGCCGACCUGAGAGGGUGAUCGGCCAUACUGGGACUGAGACACGGCCCAGACUCCUACGGGAGGCAGCAGUAGGGAAUCUUCGGCAAUGGGGGGAACCCUGACCGAGCAGCGCCGCGUGAGUGAAGAAGGUUUUCGGAUCGUAAAGCUCUGUUGUUAAGGAAGAACGAGUGUGAGAAUGGAAAGUUCAUACUGUGACGGUACUUAACCAGAAAGGGACGGCUAACUACGUGCCAGCAGCCGCGGUAAUACGUAGGUCCCGAGCGUUGUCCGGAUUUAUUGGGCGUAAAGCGAGCGCAGGCGGUUAGAAAAGUCUGAAGUGAAAGGC